This 218-nucleotide long non-coding RNA is filed under the name Helianthus annuus (common sunflower). RNAcentral's name for it is "sRNA HanXRQr2_Chr11g0493051". Lineage: Eukaryota; Viridiplantae; Streptophyta; Magnoliopsida; Asterales; Asteraceae. The record is from RNAcentral.
AGGUUGUUUAAAGUUCUAUUGAUUGAGGAUACUUUGCACUACAUCCAACCAGUAUUAGGUUAUGGUGUGGUUGCUUGAUUGAUUUCUAGGAUGCAUGCGUCACGUAGGACCUGGACAAGGCCUUAGUGACAUAAUUACAAGUGAUAGACGAUAUGUAGUUUGGUUGUGAUGUGUUAAUUACAAGUGAUAGACAAUGUAAUGUUUAAAUUUUAUCAAUA